RNAcentral lists this non-coding RNA (28 nucleotides) under Cricetulus griseus (Chinese hamster). The record is from RNAcentral. RNAcentral also lists the same sequence under 1 other name. Lineage: Eukaryota; Metazoa; Chordata; Mammalia; Rodentia; Cricetidae.
UCAGUCGGUAGAGCAUCAGACUUUUAAU